Long non-coding RNA from Acipenser ruthenus (sterlet), 636 nucleotides. RefSeq lists it as uncharacterized. The record is from RefSeq and is a predicted model, not a curated record. Lineage: Eukaryota; Metazoa; Chordata; Actinopteri; Acipenseriformes; Acipenseridae. The transcript is spliced from 2 exons.
UCUCACUAGAGCAUGGAGGAGCAGAGAUAAGACAUGGUUCUGAUAGAGAGGACCAGCACCCCAAGAAACAAAAUCUGUAGCUGUGUUUUUAUUUUGUUUUUUCUACUCUGUAUGUCUCAUUUACCUUUUUUUUACAAUACCUUCAAAACAGGAAUCCAGAAUACCAAAACUGCACAUGGGUUCCUUUAAAACCACAGUGUCUAAUGCAUAUCAGCAGUGUCCUGUAUAAAGGCUGGUUUUGGAAGAUUGAUAUAUGAGGACUGCAGAUUGAAGACAUUUUAUUGUUGAUGCUUAGUUCUGGAUGUUAUGUCAAAGGUUAGCAUGCCAAGAUUACUGAAGCCAUGGUGAUAAGUUAAACAUGUAUACUAUUGCUGUUGACAUCCGUUUGAUAUUGUGUGUCUAUUGCAGAAAUAUUGUGUCCCGGAAGGAAGGCAAAAUGACAUCCCAAGAACCAGGAUGAUCCAGGGAAAUCCGGUGGCCACUACAAAGUUCUUGUCAUUCUCCUUCAGGAAGGCGUCAAACAUGGUGGCGUCUUCCUCCAGAUACUGCUCAGCCUUCUCCAGCUUGCGCUCCUCAGCGAUCGCCAUCUCAUCCAGCUUGCACAUCUCAUCUCGCUUCACUGCCAGGGAGUACUGC